CUUCAAUUCAAUCAACGGGGACAAGGGCAGACGGCGGCGGGUAACUGCUCCCCUGCUCGUCGCCGGUCGACGGGCAGCUACUUUUUAGGGUUUCGGUUCGAUCUCAUCCCACCACCACCACCACCAGCAUAGGAGGAGAGUGCACCUUGGGCCGAUGGUCGCGAUGCUGGCCGCCCGAAAUCCCUCGCCGAGCUUCCACGCGCACGACCGCCCUCCUCCGCCGGCACAUGACAUCGCGGAGCGCCUCAGCCAUCUACGCGAUCUUCGCAGGGAACCGCUCCCCAGACGCGUCGCCCGCAUCGCCGACCUCCACACCGAUGAGGCCAGCCCCGUGCGCAAGCAUGCAGCCGAGAUUAUUGGUGAGGUCGGGUCCAAACACAUGGAGUACCUACCAGAUAUCAUCCCUUGUUUGCUGCACCUUCUGAAUGAUGAGGCGCCUGCAGUUGUCAGGCAAGCUAUCAAAACAGGAACCGCCUUGUUUGCCAAGCUGCUCCAACACCUAGUUAUCCAGGGAUUAUUUUCCACCGGGGGGAUUGAUGAUGCCCUUAAAUCAUCAUGGGAGUGGCUGCUCAAAUUCAAAUCUGCUGUCUCUCUCAUGGCAUUUCAGACCACUGGCAAUGAAGGUGCCAGGUUACUGGCCGUUAAGUUUGUUGAAAAAACAGUUCUUAUGUACACACCGGAUCCUAAUAUCCCAUCAGAUCCAACAAGCGAAGCUACGAAAGAUAUGGGAUUCAAUGUAGCAUGGUUACGAGGAGGUCACCCUUUGCUUAAUGUCAGGGAUCUAGCCAUGGAAGCCAGCCAGAACCUCGGAUUGUUGCUAGAGCAGCUCAAGUCUCCUAAAGUAAAAUCACUCAGUACUUCCAUGAUCAUUGUCUUCAUUACUAGUCUCUCAGCUAUUGCCCAAAGAAGGCCUUCCUUUUACGGACGCAUACUGCCAGUUUUACUUUCCUUGGAUCCAGCAAGUUCAAUCAUUAAAUUGCGAGUCCCAGGUGCAUUCCAUGCUUUGAAGAGUGCCUUUUCUGCGUGCCUAGAAUGUACACAUUCAAGUGCUGAGCCGUGGCGAGCACGUCUAUUGGAAGCUCAAAAUAUUAUCAACCAGGGGGGUUCAAUAGAAGAUACAACAAAUGCUGGUAAGAAUUUUGGGGACACAUCAAACAGGGAAGAAUCGUGGCCUCUGAUGGAGAGAAGCACUGACAGUAGUAACAAGCGUAGUCUGGCUGAGGACAUGAAUCAUAUGACAGAAGAUGAUGGUCACUCCAGUAAAAGAAUCAGACAUUCACUUGAUAUUCAAGAACAUAGUGAAGAGGCAAGCAAGAGAAAUGUUGAAUCAACCUCUGUUAAUAUCUCAUCUAGCCAGCCCAUCUCUAUAAGAACUGGGAAUUCUGAAGCUGUGUAUCAAUUAAUUGGUAUGUUUGCGGCUCUAGCUGCACAAGGUGACAGAGCUGCUGGAUCACUGCAAAUCCUUUCAUCCAGUAUCGCUAGCGAUUUAUUAGCGGAGGUUGUAAUGGUUAACAUGCAACACAUCCCUAUUUCUCGUCCUGAAGCUGACCAACACCAGCUUCCUUCUACUAGCUCUGGGGAUGGAAUAGCAUUGUCAAGUUCCUUCUCUCUGUUGGCAUCUCUACUGAAGAGAGCGGGUCAAAUUGAUCAAUAUGAAGUGCCUCCAGCUAAGGAAUCUGCAGUAGUAUUAUCUUAUGCAGAUGAUGUCAUGACAGUUCCUGCUAGUUCACCUGUUCCUAGUUCAGUAAGUCUUCCCAUGGAAGAGAACAGUAGCAGUCCCAAUGUUCCAUGUAUGGAAACAGGAGAGGUCAAAGUAACUAGUGCAGGUGCCAAUAGUUUGGUUGAUAUUCUAGAAUCAUCAGAGGCUUCCCAUGCUUCAACAGAACCUCAGGGAGCCCAAGAGCAUGUUAGCAGUUUUAUCAGUUCAUUGCCUGCUGAUAAUUCCUCUGCUGGUCUUAGUUUGGCUCAGUCUACAGAAACUAGCAGCCCAAGCUCCUCUAUACUGGAAGCAAACAACUCACAGCUUUCAUCUUUGAAUUCCCUUGGUUCACAAUAUGCUCUUCCAAAGUUUGUUGUCAAUAACAUUGAUCUCAGCGACGAGGCCAAAGAUCUGCUUCAAAAAGAAUCAUUUUUGCGUAUUCUUGAGAGUGAUAAGCAAGAAGCAACUGGUGGCUCAAUUGCUCGCCUUCCGCUGCUUGCUCACUUGGGUGUUGAGUUUCCUCUGGAAUUGGACCCAUGGGAGCUUCUCCAAAAGCAUGUCCUCUCUGACUAUGCAAAUAAUGAGGGGCACGAGUUGACUCUAUGCAUCCUGAACCGGUUAUAUCGUGAGGCCGAGCAGGAUCAAGAUUUUCUUUCAUCUAGAACUGCUACAUCAGUUUAUGAAUCCUUUCUUCUGACUGUAGCUGAAAAUCUUCGAGACAUGUUUCCGGCUUCAGAUAAGUCACUUGGCAAAUUGCUUUGUGAGGCACCAUACUUACCAGAAGAUGUGUUGAAACUUCUAGAAGGUUUAUGUUCUCCUGGAAGUAAUGAGAAGCAGGACAAGGAUAUCCAGAGUGGUGAUAGGGUAACACAAGGUCUCAGUGCUGUCUGGAACCUUAUCAUGCUAAGACCUUUAAAUCAGGACAGAUGUCUGGAAAUUGCUUUGCAGAGUUCAACUCAUCAUUUAGAGGAGGUCCGCAUGAAGGCAAUACGUUUGGUAGCAAAUAAGUUAUUUCCCAUGGCAAGCAUUUCCAAAAAGAUUGAAGAUUUUGCAAAUGAAAAACUUAAUUCAGUUCUAGAAGUGAUUCCAUCUGGUGAUUCUGCAGCUACUGAAACAGCUACUCCUGAAGCACACAAUGAUGGUAUUUUAGAAAAUUUAUCAGCUUCAGUGGCAGAUGCUCAAACUCUAAUGUCGCUGUAUUUUGCAUUGUGCACCAAGAAACAUUCCCUCCUCAGACAUGUAUUUGCAAUAUAUGGUAGCCUACCUCAAGCUGCCAAGCAGGCAGUUCACCGACAAGUACCAAUUCUAAUACGCACAAUAGGCUCCUCUCCUGAUCUUCUUGGGAUCAUCUCAGAUCCACCAGGUGACAGCCAGGACCUCCUAAUGCAGGUUUUACAAACCCUCACUGAUGCUGCAGUUCCAUCCAAAGAAUUGACUUCUUCCAUAAAAAACUUAUAUUCUAAAACAAAGGAUGUUGAGUUCCUUUUUGCAGUCUUGUCUCAUCUGCCAAAAGACGAGGUUUUGUCCCCCUCCCACUACAUACCACUAAUUAGCAUUAUCAUAUUCUAGGCUGCGGCUUAAACUUUAGCAAUCUUCUGCAGUUGUCUAUACUACUGCCAAUUAUUUGCACUUUAUUUUGCAAUUGCACAUGCCUGUUAAACUGCUAUCUUUUUUAUUCCAUGGAAAUUGCCACCCUGUUUAUUGUAAGUGUUUUGCCUUUCAAUUGUAUGAACCUUGAGUCCUUGACAUUAACUGGCUUUCUGCUAUACUGGAGUAAUACUUUUGACAUUAUUGUUGGGAAACAUCUAUGGGUCCGACCAUAUCGUCCAAACGCCCUGACUCUGUGCACUGCUGAGGAAAACAAUUGCUCCCUAGUCUCCGCAAGGAUAGAAAUGGCUCCACCUUGAUUUGCUGCCAUCGUAUAGCAGGAUGCAGUCGGAUGUGUAGCAGAACUCCUAUUGUUGAGAUGCUUCUUAUAUUUUUAUCCAGGUCCUGCCUGUGUUCCCCAGUAUUGUUAAUCUUCCCAUGGACAAGUUUCAGGCCGCCCUUUCACGAAUCUUGCAGGGAUCAUCCCAGAAUGGCCCUUCUCUUGAUCCAUCAGAAAUUUUAAUUGCAAUUCAUGUAAUAUAUCCUGAUAAGGAAGGAAUACCACUCAAAAAGGUUAUGGAUGCAUGCUCUGCUUGCUUCGAGCAAAGAACAAUAUUCACCCAGCAAAUUUUGGCAAAAGCACUAAAUCAACUGGUUGAGCAAAUUCCUCUUCCUUUGCUAUUCAUGAGGACUGUUAUGCAAGCAAUAGGUGUUUUUCCUGCAUUGGUGGAUUUUGUGAUGGAGAUCAUGUCACGCCUUGUGAGCAAGCAGAUUUGGAAAUAUCCUAAGUUAUGGGUAGGAUUUCUGAAGUGUGCUAUCUUGACGAAACCUCAGUCAUAUGGUGUGUUACUGCAGUUACCAGCUCCUCAACUUGAGAAUGCCUUGAGUAAGAAUCCCACACUGAAGGCACCCUUGGUUGAGCAUGCCGAGCAGCCAAAUGUCCGAUCUACUCUUCCAAGGUCUACUUUGGUGGUUCUGGGUCUUGCUGAAGAUCAACAACAACCAGCACCAGCAGUAAGUCAAGUGCAGAGCAGCCAAAACCAGGCUGCCGAUACCAGAAGCUCUGCUGCAGAUACGACUACAGAAGUAACUCAGGAGUCUUCUGCUGCUAGUUAGCAUGUUUGUGAAGUGAAAGCCUUGCUCCAAGAUUUGAUGGCCUAAAGGGGAAGACUGGCGAGACCCCAUUAGUGAAUCCGACAAGACCUAAUUUAUUUUAUUUAGUUGAUGGAUAAAUUUAAUGACCAUGUGAAGCAAAGAGGGAAAGACAUAAGAGUUAAUGUUUCAUUCUAAUAUAUCCUGCUUUUUUUUUAAUGUCUGAACCACAUUGUGUACA
RNA transcript from Panicum virgatum (switchgrass), 4619 nucleotides. It is a transcript of the gene named symplekin-like, with no coding region annotated. The transcript is spliced from 28 exons. The record is from RefSeq and is a predicted model, not a curated record. NCBI's taxonomy places the organism in Eukaryota, Viridiplantae, Streptophyta, Magnoliopsida, Poales, Poaceae.